UAAAAUUAUUUUACAUAAUAUAUUAGAAAUGAAAUGUUAUUCGUUUUUAAAGGUAUCUAGUUCUUUAAGAAAUAAAUUUAAUUUAGAAAUUUUUUAUUAUUUAAUUUAUUAUGUAAUUAUAUAAAUAAUUAAUUUUAAUAUUUUAUGGGAUAAGCUAUAAAAUAGAAUUUUUAAAAAUUAUUAAUUAAAUUAAUAAAUAUAAGCUUAUAAAUAGUUAUUAUUAAUAAAAAUGUUAUAAUUUAUUUUUUUUAUAUAUAUAUAUAUAUAUUAUUUAUUUAUAUUUUAAAAAUUUUAUUAAAGUAUUUAUUUUAAUUAAAAAAAUAAAAUAAUAAUGAUAAAAUUAGUAUAAUAUUAUUGUAUAAAUAAAUUUGAAUGUUAAGUUUUUAUAAAGAAUUUGGCAAAAAUAAUGUUCGCCUGUUUAACAAAAACAUGUCUUUAUGAAUUUUUUUUAAAGUCUAACCUGCCCAAUGAAUAAUUUAAAUGGCCGCAGUAUUUUGACUGUGCAAAGGUAGCAUAAUCAUUAGUCUUUUAAUUGGAGGCUGGAAUGAAUGGUUGGAUGAAAUAUUAACUGUUUCAUAAAAAUUUUUAUUAAAAUUUUAUUUUUUAGUUAAAAAGCUAAAAUUUAUUUAAAAGACGAGAAGACCCUAUAAAUCUUUAUAUUUAAAUUAUAAUAAUUUUUUAGAAAAAAUUUUAUUAUUAUAAUUAAUUAUAUUUUAUUGGGGUGAUAUUAAAAUUUAAUAAACUUUUAAUUUUUUUUAAUCAUUAAUUUAUGAAUAAUUGAUCUACUAUUAGUAAUUAAAAAAAUAAGUUACUUUAGGGAUAACAGCGUAAUUUUUUUGGAGAGUUCAUAUCAAUAAAAAAGAUUGCGACCUCGAUGUUGGAUUAAGAUAUAUUUUUAGGUGUAGUAGCUUAAAUUUUAAGUCUGU
Molecule: ribosomal RNA, 926 nt
Filed under: Exorista bisetosa
Lineage: Eukaryota; Metazoa; Arthropoda; Insecta; Diptera; Tachinidae
Description: partial 16S rRNA
Source: RNAcentral